This is a non-coding RNA of Poecilia reticulata (guppy), 490 nucleotides long. NCBI's taxonomy places the organism in Eukaryota, Metazoa, Chordata, Actinopteri, Cyprinodontiformes, Poeciliidae. The record is from RefSeq and is a predicted model, not a curated record.
GGUCGUUUGCCCGUUUACACUGCAGAACACAUACAGGUCGCAUUUACUGGCAGUGUGAACGGCCCAGGUAAAAAUAAUCGGAAGUGCCAAAAAAAUCGGAAUUGAGUCACUUCAGGCUGCAGUGUGAACGCACCCUUAUUGUAUAACUUUUAACGAGGAAAGAUGGCGGCGAUGGAUUGCAGCCGUCAAUCAUAAUGACUGUCAGCCGGUGUAAUCUCGGAUUUACAGGAAAUACAAGGAGCUUUUUGAGCCUCAGAUGCUUCAGCGUUUCGCCGCCUGGGUGACGGCCAGGAUUGACGCGUUGCCACAGUGAGAGCGUUUUAUGCUCCGGGAUCAAUAGCUGUUACCCAGGCAAAGCCCACAACCACUAAUGAAUCCUCUGGCUCUGUUUGCAGCAAACCGCUCUCCUCAUGUCUGCACAAGGCCGAGGAGGGAGAAAUAAAACCUGAAUACAGAAAUUAAAGUAGAUAAACGUUUUGUGUCACGUGAA